AGAAUGAACGCUGGCGGCGUGCUUAACACAUGCAAGUCGAGCGAGGCCUGGGGGCAACUCCCAGAGUCUAGCGGCGGACGGGUGAGUAACACGUGGGUAACCUGCCCGGAAGUGGGGAAUACCUCGGGGAAACUCGAGCUAAUACCGCAUGACAUCUUGGGACGAAAGUCCUGACGAUCAAAGCGGGGUCGCAAGAUCUCGCGCUACCGGAUGGGCCCGCGCCCGAUUAGCUAGUUGGUGAGGUAACGGCUCACCAAGGCUUCGAUCGGUAACC
RNAcentral lists this ribosomal RNA (274 nucleotides) under uncultured bacterium. Its description in RNAcentral is "partial small subunit ribosomal RNA". It matches the Rfam family "Bacterial small subunit ribosomal RNA", at positions 26 to 288 of the family's 1533-position model. The record is from RNAcentral.